AUUGAACGCUAGCGGGAUGCCUUACACAUGCAAGUCGAACGGCAGCACGGACUUCGGUCUGGUGGCGAGUGGCGAACGGGUGAGUAAUGUAUCGGAACGUGCCCAGUAGCGGGGGAUAACUACUCGAAAGAGUAGCUAAUACCGCAUACGCCCUACGGGGGAAAGGGGGGGAUCGCAAGACCUCUCACUAUUGGAGCGGCCGAUAUCGGAUUAGCUAGUUGGUGGGGUAAAGGCCCACCAAGGCGACGAUCCGUAGCUGGUUUGAGAGGAGGACCGGCCACACUGGGACUGAGACACGGCCCAGACUCCUACGGGAGGCAGCAGUGGGGAAUUUUGGACAAUGGGGGCAACCCUGAUCCAGCCAUCCCGCGUGUGCGAUGAAGGCCUUCGGGUUGUAAAGCACUUUUGGCAGGAAAGAAAUCGCAUGGGUUAAUACCCUGUGUGGAUGACGGUACCUGCAGAAUAAGCACCGGCUAACUACGUGCCAGCCGCCGCAGUAA
RNAcentral lists this ribosomal RNA (500 nucleotides) under uncultured bacterium. RNAcentral describes it as "partial 16S ribosomal RNA". It matches the Rfam family "Bacterial small subunit ribosomal RNA", at positions 30 to 523 of the family's 1533-position model. The record is from RNAcentral.